This 276-nucleotide ribosomal RNA is filed under the name Phyllobius oblongus. RNAcentral's name for it is "partial 16S ribosomal RNA". Lineage: Eukaryota; Metazoa; Arthropoda; Insecta; Coleoptera; Curculionidae. The record is from RNAcentral.
AAAAAGCNCAAAUUUUUUUGAAAGACGAGAAGACCCUAUAGAGUUUAAUUAAUUAUAUAUAUAUAUAAUUUUUAGUAUUUUAAUUUUAUAUUAAAAAUUAAUUUAAUUGGGGUGAUUGAAAAAUUUAAUAAACUUUUUUUUUANNUUUAACAUUGAUUUAUGGUUAUUUGAUCCUAAUUUAGAUUAAAAGAUAAAAUUACCUUAGGGAUAACAGCGUAAUUUUUCUAGAGAGUUCUAAUCGAAAGAAAAGAUUGCGACCUCGAUGUUGGAUUAAAA